This 403-nucleotide ribosomal RNA is filed under the name uncultured bacterium. Its description in RNAcentral is "partial 16S ribosomal RNA". It matches the Rfam family "Bacterial small subunit ribosomal RNA", at positions 30 to 526 of the family's 1533-position model. The record is from RNAcentral.
AUUGAACGCUGGCGGCAGGCCUAACACAUGCAAGUCGAGCGAGCGGCGGACGGGUGAGUAAUGUAUGGGGACUGCCCGAUAGAGGGGGAUAACUACUGGAAACGGUGGCUAAUACCGCAUACUAUCGGAUAACCCAUAUGGGAUUAGCUAGUAGGUGGGGUAAAGGCUCACCAAGGCGACGAUCCCUAGCUGGUCUGAGAGGACGAUCAGCCACACGGGGACUGAGACACGGCCCAGACUCCUACGGAGGCAGCAGUGGGGAAUAUUGGACAAUGGUCGCAAGCCUGAUCCAGCCAUGCCGCGUGUAUGAAGAAGGCCUUCGGGUUGUAAAGUACUUUCAGCGGGGAAGCGUUACCCGCAGAAGAAGCACCGGCUAACUCCGUGCCAGCAGCCGCGGUAAUUC